This 468-nucleotide ribosomal RNA is filed under the name uncultured bacterium. RNAcentral's name for it is "partial 16S ribosomal RNA". It matches the Rfam family "Bacterial small subunit ribosomal RNA", at positions 28 to 507 of the family's 1533-position model. The record is from RNAcentral.
GACGAACGCUGGCGGCGUGCUUAACACAUGCAAGUCGAACGGAAAGGUCCUGCUUUUGUGGGGUGCUCGAGUGGCGAACGGGUGAGUAACACGUGAGUAACCUGCCCUUGACUUUGGGAUAACUUCAGGAAACUGGGGCUAAUACCGGAUAGGAGCUCCUGCUGCAUGGUGGGGGUUGGAAAGUUUCGGCGGUUGGGGAUGGACUCGCGGCUUAUCAGCUUGUUGGUGGGGUAGUGGCUUACCAAGGCUUUGACGGGUAGCCGGCCUGAGAGGGUGGCCGGCCACAUUGGGACUGAGAUACGGCCCAGACUCCUACGGGAGGCAGCAGUGGGGAAUAUUGCACAAUGGGCGGAAGCCUGAUGCAGCAACGCCGCGUGCGGGAUGACGGCCUUCGGGUUGUAAACCGCUUUCGCCUGUGACGAAGCGUGAGUGACGGUAAUGGGUAAAGAAGCACCGGCUAACUACGUG